AUGUUUUUAAGGAUCGUUUUACUUCUUCUUCUCGUGACUGGAACAUUAACACAGGACUUAGGUUUUGACCUGGGAGAUGCUAUCGAUGAUAUAGCUCCAACACCUGCAAAGCCCAAAGAGCAACCGAAGGCCCCAGAUAAUGAUGGUGGCUUUAACUUUGAUUUAGGAGAUGCUCUCGGCCCAGAACCCACCCCCAAAACUGACAAACCAGCUGUUAAACCACCAAAGAGUGGAGGAGGUGGCUUUGGACUGGAUUUGGAGGAUGCCGUCGGCCCAGACCCCAGCGCCAAACCUGAAAAACCACCUGUUAAACCACCAAAGAGUGGAGGAGGUGGCGGAACUUUUGAUGACUCAGACUUGUUUGACAUUAAUGACGGGAGCUACAAGCCUGAUGGAGGCCGCUCAGGAGGAGGAGGAGGAGGAGGAAAGGAGGUCGUGCGGGGGACCCUGGCUCCGAUCCUCAGGGUGGUGCUGAUCAGCCUCAAGGUAAAUCUAAUCUUUAUGUACUUCCUGUCUUUGUCUCCAUGCUCCGUCAAUGUCACUGUGGAUGUCGCUAUGUCUUCCCGCAGAACUGAUCUGCCCUUGAGCUUUUGUUGGGAGUUUUCCUGUGUUGCGCCUUUGAGGAAGUUGUGUUCGCUGAUUUAUUUACUGGUUUGUUGCUGA
Molecule: long non-coding RNA, 663 nt
Filed under: Dicentrarchus labrax (European seabass)
Lineage: Eukaryota; Metazoa; Chordata; Actinopteri; Moronidae
Description: lncRNA (ENSDLAG00005026237.2)
Source: RNAcentral